This 253-nucleotide ribosomal RNA is filed under the name uncultured bacterium. RNAcentral's name for it is "partial 16S ribosomal RNA". It matches the Rfam family "Bacterial small subunit ribosomal RNA", at positions 524 to 776 of the family's 1533-position model. The record is from RNAcentral.
UACAGAGGUCUCAAGCGUUGUUCGGAAUUACUGGGCGUAAAGCGCACGUAGGCGGAUAUUUAAGUCAGGGGUGAAAUCCCGGGGCUCAACCCCGGAACUGCCUUUGAUACUGGGUAUCUCGAGUCCGAGAGAGGUGAGUGGAAUUCCGAGUGUAGAGGUGAAAUUCGUAGAUAUUCGGAGGAACACCAGUGGCGAAGGCGGCUCACUGGCUCGGUACUGACGCUGAGGUGCGAAAGCGUGGGGAGCAAACAGG